GUAUAUUUAGCACAUAUACUGAAAUUGGAACAAUACAGAGAAGAUUAGCAUGGCCCCAGCGCAAGGAGGAGAGGAGGACACGCAAAAUUUGUAGAUAUAUGU
Molecule: small nuclear RNA, 102 nt
Organism: Hyla sarda
Lineage: Eukaryota; Metazoa; Chordata; Amphibia; Anura; Hylidae
Source: RefSeq, a predicted model, not a curated record